RNAcentral lists this ribosomal RNA (1236 nucleotides) under Platygaster sp. ZJUH_2016026. Its description in RNAcentral is "16S ribosomal RNA". The record is from RNAcentral. Lineage: Eukaryota; Metazoa; Arthropoda; Insecta; Hymenoptera; Platygastridae.
UUUUAUUUAUAGAAAUAUAUUUAAUUUUUUUUAUUUUAUUAGUAAAUUUAAUUUUUUUUAUUAUAUUAAAAAUUUUAAAUUAAUUUAUUUAAGAUAAUUGUAAAAUAAAUUUAUAUAAUUUUAUAAGAAUAAUUUAUUUUUUAUUCCUUUUGUAUUAGGAUAAUUUAAAUGAAUUUUAUAAAUUUUAAAUAUUUCGAAAAUUAAUGAAUUAAUUUAAUUAUGAUAUAUUUAUAUAGAAAUAUAAUAUAAAAUAUUGAAUUAGAGAUGAUAUAUUAAUCAUAUUAGUUGAUAUUUAAUUAUUAAAGAAAUAAAUUUAAUUUAUUAAUAAUUAAUUAAUAUAAAAAUUUAUUUUAUAUUAAAUUUUUAUUAUUAUAAUAAUAGAUAUAAUUUUAUUAUUAUUUUUAUAAAAAAUUUAUUUAAAUAUUUUUAUAUUAAGGAAUAAAAAUUUAGUAAUAUAUAAAUAUAAUAAUUUAUUAUUUUAUUAUUAUAAUUUUUUUUUAAUUAAAAUUUUAUUUAAUUUAAAUUAAAUAAUUAUAAAUUUAUUAUUAUUAUGAAUUAAUUAGUAAUUUUUUUUUAAGAAGUAAAUUGUUUAAAUUAUAAAUUAUUUAUUAUAAAUUAAACAUAAAUAAAUUUUCACUUAUUUAAUAAAAAUAUGGUUUAAGGUUAAAAAAUUUUAGAUUUAAUUUGUUCAAUGAAAUUAUUUAAAUAAUUGCAGUAUUUUAACUGUAUUAAAGUAGCAUAAUCAUUUGUUUUUUAAUUGGAGACUGGGAUGAAUAAUUUGAUGAGAGAUUUAUUUUUUUAUAAAUAAAAAAUUAAUUUAAUUUAAUAAUAAAAAAGUUAUUAUUUAUUUAAUAGACGAGAAGACCCUAUAGAAUUUUAUUUAUAAUUAAUUUAUUGAAAUAAUUAAUAUAAAUUGUAUUGGGGUGAUAAAAAAAUUAAUGAAACUUUUUAAUAAAAUAAAUAUAUUAUUAUUAAUAUUAUUGAUUUUAAUAAAGUUUAAGAAAAAUUACCUUAGGGAUAACAGCAUAAUUUUUAUGGAAAGAAUAAAUUUAUAUAAAAGAUUAUGACCUCGAUGUUGAAUUAUGAUAUUAUAUAUUUAUAAAAAAUUAUAUUAUUAAUCUGUUCGAUUAUUAAAAUCAUACUUGAUUUGAGUUAAAAUCGGUGUGAGCCAGAUUGGAUUUUAUCUUUAAUUUUUAAAUAAAAUUAUUGUACGAAAGGAAUUAAUCUUAUAAAUUA